Molecule: ribosomal RNA, 2900 nt
Filed under: Mycoplasmataceae bacterium
Lineage: Bacteria; Bacillati; Mycoplasmatota; Mollicutes; Mycoplasmatales; Mycoplasmataceae
Description: 23S ribosomal RNA
Rfam family: Bacterial large subunit ribosomal RNA
Source: RNAcentral
CAUUAAGUUAUAAAGGGCUUAUGGUGGAUGCCUUGGGAUUGGAUGGCGAAGAAGGACGUGCAAAUCUGCGAUAAGCUUCGGGGAGGCGAUAAGGGCCUAUAAUCCGGAGAUUUCCGAAUGGGGGAACCCAGACAGUAGAGAUACUGUUUAUAGUUAAAUGAAUAAAUAGUUUAAUUAAGCGAUACCCAGCGAAGUGAAACAUCUCAGUAGCUGGAGGAAAAGAGAACAAAGUUAUUCCCUUAGUAGUGGCGAGCGAAACGGGAGGAGGGCACAGUUUUUUGAAACUGUAUAAAGUGUAAUAGCGAUAGUAGAAGUAGUUGGAAAGCUACAUCAUAGAGGGUGAUAAUCCCGUAUACGAAAUUUCUAUUACAUCAAAGCGAGUAGGACGGAACACGUGGAAUUUUGUCUGAAGAUGGGGCGACCAUGCUCCAACCCUAAAUACAAACCAAUCACCGAUAGCGUAUAGUACCGUGAGGGAAAGGUGAAAAGAACCCAGAGAUGGGAGUGAAAUAGAUUCUGAAACCAUAUGCCUACAACGAGUAGAAGCACAUUAAAGUGUAACUGCGUGCGUUUUGAAGUAUGAGCCGGAGAGUUAAUUGUUCAUGCAAGGUUAAGUUGUAGAGACGGAGCCGUAGGGAAACCAAGUGUUAAUAGCGCGAUUUAGUAUGAAUAAUUAGACCCGAAACGUGUUGAUCUAGCCAUGGCCAGGUUGAAGUAUAAGUAACAUUAUAUGGAGGACCGAACCGACCUUCGUUGAAAUGCCGGCGGAUGAGUUGUGGCUAGGACAGAAAUUGUAAUCGAAACACGUGAUAGCUGGUUCUCGUCGAUAUAUAUUGACGUAUAGCCUUAGAUUAUUGGGAAUGUGAAGGUAGAGCGCUGACUGACUGAUGGCACCACCUCGGUGUACUGAUUUCAAUCAAACUGCGAAUGUCAUAGAACCUAUUCUAGGAGUCGGACUGUGGGGGAUAAGCUUCAUAGUCGUGAGGGUAAGAGCCCAGAUCAUUAAUUAAGGUCCCUAAAUUAUGCUAAGUGGAAAAGGAUGUUGGAUUUCUUAAACACCAAGGAUGUUGGCUUAGAAGCAGCCAUCGUUUAAAGAGUGCGUAACAGCUCACUUGUCGAGAAAUCCUGCGCCAACAGUUCAACGGGGCUAAAGCAUAAUACCGAAGUUAUGGGUUUAAUUUAUAGUUUACUAUAGAUUAAGCGGUAGACGAGUGUUGUAUACAGCGUUGAAGCUAAACCGUGAGGAUUAGUGGAGUGUAUACAAGUAAGAAUUCCGGUGUGAGUAACGAAUAUAAGUGAGAAUCUUAUAAGCCGAUAGUGCAAGGUUUCCAGGGCAAGGGUCGUCCUCCCUGGGUUAGUCGGAACCUAAGAUGAGGCCGAAAGGCGUAGUCGAUGGAUGACAGGUUAAUAUUCCUGUACUUGGUAUAUGUCUAUGGAGUGACGGAGAAGGUUAGUGCAGUGCUGUUAUUGGAUUCAGCGUUAAGUAUCAAGUGUAUCAGGCAGGCAAAUCCACCUGGUGUUAAGCAUGAGAUAUGAAUAUAUAGGGAAAGCUUCUAGCAAGUACUAAACUGUAUGACAUCAUGCUUCUUAAAAAAACUUCUGAGUUAUCAUAUAUCAAUCCGUACCGAGAACGAACACACGUGCACAUGGUGAGUAACCUAAGGCUUGCGAGUGAACUACUGCUAAGGAACUCUGCAAAAUGACCCCGUAAGUUAGCGAUAAGGGGUGCCCAAUACUUUAUUGGGCCUCAGUAAAGAGUGAGGAGCAACUGUUUAUCAAAAACACAACUUUAUGCUAAAUCGUAAGAUGAUGUAUAUGAGGUGACACCUGCCCAGUGCUGGAAGGUUAAGGAAGUUGGUUAGGGAGCAAUCCCGAAGCUGAUGCCCGAAGCCCCAGUGAACGGCGGCCGUAACUAUAACGGUCCUAAGGUAGCUCGAUUCCUUCUCGGGUAAAUUCCGUGUAUGCGAAAGGUGUAAUGACUUCUUAACUGUCUCGGCAGUAGACUCGGUGAAAUCCUGGUGGGGGUGAAGACGCCUCCUUGGCGCGAUUGGGCGGAAAGACCCCAUGAAGCUUUACUGUAACUUAACAUUGAUUUGUUAUGACAUAUAUAGAGUGUAGGAGGGAGACUUUGAAGUGCUGACGCCAGUUAGCAUGGAGUCAAUUUUGUAACACCUCCUUUAUGUUAUGACUUUUCUUAACUUAUCACAGUUAUCCUGUGAAAGGACAGUGUUAGGCGGGCAGUUUGACUGGGGCGGUCGCCUCCCAAAAGAUAACGGAGGCGCGCAAAGGUACACUCAGCACGGUUGGAAAUCGUGCUACGAGCGUAAUGGUAUAAGUGUGCUUGACUGCGAGACUUACAAGUCGAGCAGGGAAGAAAUUCGGUCAUAGUGAUCUGGUGGUAUUGUAUGGAAAAGCCAUCACCUAUCGGACAAAAGUUACUCUGGGGAUAACAGGCUGAUAGUGUCCAAGAGUUCAUAUCGACGACACUGUUUGGCACCUCGAUGUCGACUCAUCUUAUCCUGGGGCUGUAGCAGGUCCCAAGGGUUCGGCUGUUCGCCGAUUAAAAAGAUACGUGAGUUGGGUUCAAACCGUUGUGAAACAGGUUGGUCCCUACCUGUCGUGCCCGUAAGAAAAUUGAAGAAGUUUGCUCCUAGUACGAGAGGAUCGGAGUGAAGUUACCUCUAAUGUUCCAGUUAUCAUGCCAAUGGUAGUGCUGGGUAGUUACGUAGCGAAUGGAUAAGCGCUGAAAGCAUAUAAGUGUGAAGCCAGUUCUAAGAUAAAUUUUCUCCACCCGCAAGGGUGAUAAGAAUCGUUGUAGACCACGACGUUGAUAGGAUACAUGUGUAAGUGGAGUAAUCCAUUGAGCUGAGUAUUACUAAUAAUUCGAAAGACUUAAGGUG